UACAGAGGUGGCAAGCGUUGUUCGGAAUUACUGGGCGUAAAGGGCGCGUAGGCGGCCCUCUAAGUCAGACGUGAAAUCCCCCGGCUUAACCUGGGAACUGCGUCUGAUACUGGAGGGCUUGAGUAUGGGAGAGGGAUGUAGAAUUCCAGGUGUAGCGGUGAAAUGCGUAGAUAUCUGGAGGAAUACCGGUGGCGAAGGCGGCAUCCCGGACCAUUACUGACGCUGAGGCGCGAAAGCCAGGGGAGCAAACGGG
Molecule: ribosomal RNA, 253 nt
Filed under: uncultured bacterium
Lineage: Bacteria
Description: partial 16S ribosomal RNA
Rfam family: Bacterial small subunit ribosomal RNA
Source: RNAcentral